This 524-nucleotide ribosomal RNA is filed under the name uncultured bacterium. RNAcentral's name for it is "bacterial SSU rRNA". It matches the Rfam family "Bacterial small subunit ribosomal RNA", at positions 355 to 896 of the family's 1533-position model. The record is from RNAcentral.
UGGGGAAUAUUGGACAAUGGACCGAGAGUCUGAUCCAGCAAUUCUGUGUGCACGAUGAAGUUUUUCGGAAUGUAAAGUGCUUUCAGUUGGGAAGAAAAAAAUGACGGUACCAACAGAAGAAGUGACGGCUAAAUACGUGCCAGCAGCCGCGGUAAUACGUAUGUCACAAGCGUUAUCCGGAUUUAUUGGGCGUAAAGCGCGUCUAGGUGGUUAUGUAAGUCUGAUGUGAAAAUGCAGGGCUCAACUCUGUAUUGCGUUGGAAACUGUAUAACUAGAGUACUGGAAAGGUAAGCGGAACUACAAGUGUAGAGGUGAAAUUCGUAGAUAUUUGUAGGAAUGCCGAUGGGGAAGCCAGCUUACUGGACAGAUACUGACGCUAAAGCGCGAAAGCGUGGGUAGCAAACAGGAUUAGAUACCCUGGUAGUCCACGCUGUAAACGAUGAUUACUAGGUGUUGGGGGUCGAACCUCAGCGCCCAAGCAAACGCGAUAAGUAAUCCGCCUGGGGAGUACGUACGCAAGUAUG